This 392-nucleotide ribosomal RNA is filed under the name uncultured bacterium. RNAcentral describes it as "partial 16S ribosomal RNA". It matches the Rfam family "Bacterial small subunit ribosomal RNA", at positions 523 to 918 of the family's 1533-position model. The record is from RNAcentral.
AUACGGAGGAUCCGAGCGUUAUCCGGAUUUAUUGGGUUUAAAGGGUGCGCAGGCGGCCAUUUAAGUCAGCGGUUAAAUCGUGGGGCUCAACCCCAUUCUGCCGUUGAUACUGGGUGGCUAGAUUGCGGUCGAGGUUGGCGGAAUUCGUUGUGUAGCGGUGAAAUGCAUAGAUAUGACGAAGAACACCGAUUGCGUAGGCAGCUGACCAGAUCGCAAAUGACGCUCAUGCACGAAAGUGCGGGGAUCGAACAGGAUUAGAUACCCUGGUAGUCCGCACAGUAAACGAUGAAUACUUGUUUUCGGCGAUAUAAUGUCGGAGGCAAAGCGAAAGCGAUAAGUAUUCCACCUGGGGAGUACGCCGGCAACGGUGAAACUCAAAUGAAUUGACGGGG